UGGUGCAAUCAUAUUAGCAUUAAUGCACUAGGUCCUAUCAAAACUCUGUAGUUAAGCGCGCUUGGGCUGGAGUAGUACCGAGAUGGGUGACCUCUAGGGAAGUCCCAGUAUUGCACCAUG
RNAcentral lists this ribosomal RNA (120 nucleotides) under Cycas micholitzii. Lineage: Eukaryota; Viridiplantae; Streptophyta; Cycadopsida; Cycadales; Cycadaceae. The record is from RNAcentral.